UGUUAACAGUAGAGGUAUUGGAUGUUAACUGGAGGAGACAUCUAAACAGUAGAGGUAUUGGAUGUUAACAGUAGAGGUAUUGGAUGUUAACAGUAGAGGUAUUGGAUGUUAACAGUAGAGGUAUUGGAUGUUAACAGUAGAGGUAUUGGAUGUUAACUGGAGGAGACAUCUAAACAGUAGAGGUAUUGGAUGUUAACAGUAGAGGUAUUGGAUGUUAACAGUAGAGGUAAUGGAUGUUAACAGUAGAGGUAAUGGAUGUUAAUAACAGUAGAGGUAUUGGAUGUUAACAGUAGAGGUAUUGGAUGUUAACAGUAGAGGUAUUGGAUGUUAACAGUAGAGGUAUUGGAUGUUAAUG
Oncorhynchus keta (chum salmon) is the source of this 355-nucleotide long non-coding RNA. RefSeq lists it as uncharacterized. The record is from RefSeq and is a predicted model, not a curated record. NCBI's taxonomy places the organism in Eukaryota, Metazoa, Chordata, Actinopteri, Salmoniformes, Salmonidae. The transcript has 4 exons.